CCCCCCCUAAGUUCAAGAAAAUGGGAAAAAGGAAAAGGGGGUGGAGACAUGUGCUGCACACUCCCCUAACUUCUCUUGAGCCUGCUGCAUUCUCGCACCCCAACAAUACAGCCCUCCUCCCUUUUUACCUCUCUUUGCAAACAAGAACUUCAUUCUCAUUCCACACUAAGGUUUCUAGCAAAACAGGAAGGAGCUCUUCAUUCGGUGCCCUGCCAAGUUCAAGGUGAGACCUUGUGUAAAUUCGUC
This 246-nucleotide long non-coding RNA is filed under the name Salvia miltiorrhiza (redroot sage). RNAcentral's name for it is "long non-coding RNA (SMIL_LNC003200)". The record is from RNAcentral. Lineage: Eukaryota; Viridiplantae; Streptophyta; Magnoliopsida; Lamiales; Lamiaceae.